Molecule: transfer RNA, 87 nt
Filed under: Gammaproteobacteria bacterium
Lineage: Bacteria; Pseudomonadati; Pseudomonadota; Gammaproteobacteria
Also listed under: 1 other name
Description: tRNA-Leu
Rfam family: tRNA
About the family: Transfer RNA (tRNA) molecules are approximately 80 nucleotides in length. Their secondary structure includes four short double-helical elements and three loops (D, anti-codon, and T loops).
Source: RNAcentral
GCCGGAGUGGCGAAAUUGGUAGACGCGCCGGACUCAAAAUCCGGUGUUAGAGAUAACGUGUCGGUUCAAGUCCGACCUCCGGUACCA